CGUCAUCUCUCCUGAUCUUUGGUAUCCUGGGUAGCUCAGAGAUGUCUGUUCUUCUGGGCGCUGGCUUCAGGGGAGGCCCCGGCACCACACUGCGACAUGGGGGCUUAGAAUCUCUGCUUGAGAUCUUAGACGCGGCAGAGGCAAGGGGCAAGGUGUGCUUGUUGGUGCCGUUGAACCAGGGGCUGUGGCUCUGUCUGAAGCCAGGCACACUCCCAUUUGACAAGUUCCGAGCCUGAACCGCCCCAGGGGCUGCUGGCAAGUCCAGCCUCACAGGCGCCCCCGCGGUGCGGGCGGGGGUGCGGGACCUGCCUUGACAGCUGAGCCCUGUGCUCUGUGGCCUGUUUCCUGACGGGCCUUGGGCCGGGCUCCCGGAGGGCAGUGCUCGGGGCUGCAGGCAGCCCUUGAAUCCUUCUUCCCCUCUGGACAGACUGCCUGAGUUUCGCUGAAAAGAAACUGGAGCUAAAAAACAAAAAAGUCAAUGGCAAUCAUUUCCCACCCACUCUUCUUAAAUGUCAGUGGUUUAAUUUUUAUCACAACUGGUUUUCUGUGAGGUCGUGCGCUUUAAACUCCUGUCUGCCUGUUGAGGUGGACACCUCGCCUUUCCACACCCGGAGAGCUGCUUCAACAGCCACUCUGUGGAUGACAAAGUACAGUGCCUGAGGCCAUCAGGACACGAUAUUAACCAGGGGCGGGGGCAGUACCCCAUCAGGACAUGUUCUUAUGAACAUGAAGCUGUGGGGCUGGGUAAGAACUCGGAGCUAACUGAGAAACUGCUCAAGAAGGGAAAUCAAUGCAGAAAAAUGGCUGAGGAAUGGUCCCCCCAACUUCAGCUACAUCUUCCGUGACUGAGACAUGGGCUGAGUGCUUGCGAACAGCCUGAGGACCAGCAGCCCACAGAGGAAGGGGCCGUGGCAGGGAAGGCACUCACCCGCCCUCUUGGCGCUGAGGGAGCCGUCGCGGUGGAUGAUGACAUCACUGCUGCCCAGCAUCAGGAGGCUCUGGCCCGACAGGAUGCUGCCCAGCAGGUCAGGCACUG
RNAcentral lists this long non-coding RNA (1036 nucleotides) under Homo sapiens (human). RNAcentral describes it as "non-protein coding lnc-IRF7-1:1". The record is from RNAcentral. Lineage: Eukaryota; Metazoa; Chordata; Mammalia; Primates; Hominidae.